This 1257-nucleotide ribosomal RNA is filed under the name Bacillus subtilis. RNAcentral's name for it is "partial 16S ribosomal RNA". The stretch from base 1 to 904 matches the Rfam family "Bacterial small subunit ribosomal RNA". Lineage: Bacteria; Bacillati; Bacillota; Bacilli; Caryophanales; Bacillaceae. The record is from RNAcentral.
AGUUAUCUAGUAAGAUCUGUCAUCCUGUCAUGCAGUCGAGCUGACCGACGGAGCCUGCUCUUAAGUUCAGCGGCGGACGGGUGACGAUACAGCGUGGGUCACUGCCUGUAGACUGGAUAACUCCGGGAUAUCUGGGCUAUACCGGAUGCUUGAUGACUGCAUGUUCCAUUUAAAGGGGGCUUUAGCUACCACUACAGAUGGACCCCGCCAAUAGCCUGGUGGUGAGGUACCGCUCACCAAGGCGACCAAUCGUCCCCAACCUGAGAAGGUUAUCGGCCACAUUGGGAUUAAAAAUGCCCAAAAUUCUUACGGGAGGGAGCGGUUGGGAAAUCUCCGAAUGGACGAAGGCGGCGGAACACCGCCCGUAGGUAAUGAAGGUUUCGGAUUGAAACUUUUUUGUUAGGGAAGAACAAGUCCCGUUCGAAUGGGGUGUACCUUGACGUUCCCUUACCAGAAAGGCACGCUAACUUCGUUCAACGGCCGCGUUAUUCGUAGGUUGGCAAGGUUGCCGGGAAUAUUGGGUUUAAGCGCCCGAGGGGGUUCUAAAGUCUGAUGUGAAAGCCCCGCUCCAACCGGGGGGUUAUUGAAAACUGGGGACUGGGUCCAGAAGAGAGAGGUGAUUCACGUUUGCGGUGAAAUGGUUAAGAUGUGGAGACACCAGUGCGAAGCACUCUUUUGGCGUAACUAACGCUAGGGCGAAACUUGGGAGGCAACAGGAUUAGAUCCUGUUAGUCAGCCGAAACAUUAUGCAAGGGUAAAGGUUUCCGCUCUUGUGUCUGAGCCAACGAUAAGGACUCCCUUGGGGGUACGGUCGAAGUUUAAACUAAAGGAUUUACGGGGGCCCCCAAGCGGGGAAGAGUUGUUUAUUCGAGCAACGGUAGAACUUACAGGGCUUGCAUCCUAAAACCCUUGAAUGGUUUCCCUCGGGGCAAGUACAGUGUCAUUGUUUAUAGCCAGGUCGUAGAUGUGGUUAAUUCGCAACGGGCAUCUUUGACCUAGUGCCAAGUUUAGGUGUCAUUUAGGUACUCGGGAACAACGGAGAAGUGGGUAUAUCUAUUUAUGCCUUAAACUGGUCCACACGGUAAAUUGGUAAAAGGCGAAAUCGCGAGAGAGAAUCCAAAUCUUUUGAGUGAAGACUCCACUACUCUGAGGGAGACAUAGUACUCGAUAACCCCGGGAUAAUCCCGCGUGGCGCGGCGCUACCAAGUGUAAACACCAGCGUGUAAUCCUUGACUGCCCGCGAGGUAUUGAUGUUUA